RNAcentral lists this long non-coding RNA (1955 nucleotides) under Theobroma cacao (cacao). RNAcentral describes it as "long non-coding RNA (TCAC_LNC004545)". The record is from RNAcentral. Lineage: Eukaryota; Viridiplantae; Streptophyta; Magnoliopsida; Malvales; Malvaceae.
AUGGCCAGCCAAAGCAAGAACAAAGGAAGAAAAGAAGAACAAGAACCCUAGAGUGAAAAUUCAAGAGAAAAUUGGUGGAUUUCAAGUAAUCAAGUAAUUAAAGGUAAAAUUUCUUGAUUUUGACUUGUGAUCUACCUUUCCCAUGCAUUAUUUUGCAUUUUUCAUGGUUGAAUCACAAGAUAUCAUGAAGGAUGGUGUGCUGAUCAAACCCUAGGAGAAAGAAUUUGAUGAUGAUUUAAAUAGAUUUUUAAGAUAUAUGGAUGUUUUUAGUUGUUUAUGGUGUUAAGUGUAAGAAUUAAGCUUGAAAUUCACAUAUUCCUCAUGAGUUCAUCAUUGGCCGAAUCUUCCUUGUAGAGUGUUGAUGGUGGAUUUGAUUUUAUUUCAAGUGAAUUGGUUAGGAAAUGAUGAAUUAUGGUGAAAAAAUCAAGUAGGAAAAAUCAUAGUGUUGAUGCACUCACCAUGGCCGAAAUUCUCAAGAAGAAAUGUGAAGAUGAUUUUGCCAUAUUUCAAGUUAUUUAAUUUGUGUUUGAUGAUUUGGAGUAUUGGGAGAAAAAUGGAAUUAUUUGGAGUUGAAUUGGACAUAUUGGCCAAUUAAUCGAGUGAUAGAUCGAAUUAGGCCAAUACCGUUUUAUUUAGGUACACAAUUGAAUUUGUGUAGAACACUGUGUUUAGACGAUAAUCUGAACAAUUUACAUCCCAUUUCAUGCAUUAGUAUAGAGCCUGAAUUGGUUUUAUAACAAUUUAGCACAAACGUAGUAAAUGGCUUAUUGUGCAUUAUGUCUAGGUAGUGAGCAUUCUGGCAAAAGUAAAGAGAUAGUACCUGAGGAUUAAGAAACGGAGUACUCGAAAUUCGACUCCCAAAAUAGUGAGUAACCUUAUCAUCAUCUUGAUUAUUUGAAGUGAAUUUUAACUCGUUUUUGUGAUUUUAUGGAAAAUGAGUUUAAAUGGUAAAUCUUUAUGUUUUAUAAGCAAAAUGUGAUUAAAUGAAAUGAUUUUGUAAAAUUGUCUUGAAAUUGAAAGAUAGUUUUGAAAAUGGAGUAAUUGGAGACUAAUUGCUGUGUUAUAAAUCAUGGUUUGAACUGAAUGGCUUAUGAUAAUAUUGGCAUGAAUAGUUGAAUUAGCAAAUGUGCUGAAAAUGUAUGAACUGUUGAUUUACCUUGAGGGGCUAUAAAAUAAAAUAAUUGCCAUGUCAUGUUAUCACAAAUUUUAUUGUAUGUUGGGUUAUAAUUGGUCGCUGCAGUGGACGGGUUUCGUGGAUCAGCCUAUUAGAGGGGUACGGUAACCCUAUUAUAUUCAUACCUCAAUAUGAGAGGCGCGGUUGGAUAACUCCUGAGGUUAAAACUUUAGAGUUCACUUCAUGCCAAACCACCACGUGAGGGUGAACUCAGCCAAAGUAAAAAAACGGCUAUGUUUUCAAAAUAAAAACAUGAUUUAUGCAUACAUAACUUUUUAACAGCCUUGGCAGACUCGGUUGGAAUAGCCCUCAGCCAAGGUAUCCCUGAUAACUGAGUAUGAGAAUGAUUUUGGCACGAGCCAAACUUUUCAGGAAAUCAUAUGCCUCAUUAUUUAUUUUGAUGAAAUGAAUCUAUUCUAUCUUAUUAAAAUGAGUUCGAAAUGCUGAGAAUCAUUUUUAUGCUUAUCUAUUUUAUCUGUCUUCAUUUACUCAGAUUUAGAUAUUUUAGAUGGUAUUUGUUUACUCAUUGGGAUUAUAUAAUCUCACCACCUUCAUUUCCACCCAUUUCAGGCUCAAGAUAGUCGGUAGAUAGCUCACUUUGUUGAGGGCUACAGUUGGACUUGCAUCCUCAAAAAUUGUUGGUUUAUUGCUUUUGAUACUUUUGGUCGUUCGUGCGCCAACGUGUCACUGUAAAUUAAAUUUUAUACUUUGGUUAUCUGUAUUACAGUAUGUAUGAAUUUAUUUAAUUUUUAUGCUGUAAAAAUUAUUUAACGGUAACCCU